CUAUACAUGCAGUCGAGCGGACAGAAGGGAGCUUGCUCCCGGAUGUUAGCGGCGGACGGGUGAGUAACACGUGGGUAACCUGCCUGUAAGACUGGGAUAACUCCGGGAAACCGGAGCUAAUACCGGAUAGUUCCUUGAACCGCAUGGUUCAAGGAUGAAAGACGGUUUCGGCUGUCACUUACAGAUGGACCCGCGGCGCAUUAGCUAGUUGGUGGGGUAAUGGCUCACCAAGGCGACGAUGCGUAGCCGACCUGAGAGGGUGAUCGGCCACACUGGGACUGAGACACGGCCCAGACUCCUACGGGAGGCAGCAGUAGGGAAUCUUCCGCAAUGGACGAAAGUCUGACGGAGCAACGCCGCGUGAGUGAUGAAGGUUUUCGGAUCGUAAAGCUCUGUUGUUAGGGAAGAACAAGUGCGAGAGUAACUGCUCGCACCUUGACGGUACCUAACCAGAAAGCCACGGCUAACUACGUGCCAGCAGCCGCGGUAAUACGUAGGUGGCAAGCGUUGUCCGGAAUUAUUGGGCGUAAAGGGCUCGCAGGCGGUUUCUUAAGUCUGAUGUGAAAGCCCCCGGCUCAACCGGGGAGGGUCAUUGGAAACUGGGAAACUUGAGUGCAGAAGAGGAGAGUGGAAUUCCACGUGUAGCGGUGAAAUGCGUAGAGAUGUGGAGGAACACCAGUGGCGAAGGCGACUCUCUGGUCUGUAACUGACGCUGAGGAGCGAAAGCGUGGGGAGCGAACAGGAUUAGAUACCCUGGUAGUCCACGCCGUAAACGAUGAGUGCUAAGUGUUAGGGGGUUUCCGCCCCUUAGUGCUGCAGCUAACGCAUUAAGCACUCCGCCUGGGGAGUACGGUCGCAAGACUGAAACUCAAAGGAAUUGACGGGGGCCCGCACAAGCGGUGGAGCAUGUGGUUUAAUUCGAAGCAACGCGAAGAACCUUACCAGGUCUUGACAUCCUCUGACAACCCUAGAGAUAGGGCUUUCCCUUCGGGGACAGAGUGACAGGUGGUGCAUGGUUGUCGUCAGCUCGUGUCGUGAGAUGUUGGGUUAAGUCCCGCAACGAGCGCAACCCUUGAUCUUAGUUGCCAGCAUUCAGUUGGGCAUUCUAAGGUGACUGCCGGUGACAAACCGGAGGAAGGGGGGGAUGACGCCAA
RNAcentral lists this ribosomal RNA (1154 nucleotides) under Bacillus safensis. RNAcentral's name for it is "bacterial SSU rRNA". It matches the Rfam family "Bacterial small subunit ribosomal RNA", at positions 49 to 1188 of the family's 1533-position model. The record is from RNAcentral. Lineage: Bacteria; Bacillati; Bacillota; Bacilli; Caryophanales; Bacillaceae.